This is a long non-coding RNA of Daphnia magna, 527 nucleotides long. RefSeq lists it as uncharacterized. NCBI's taxonomy places the organism in Eukaryota, Metazoa, Arthropoda, Branchiopoda, Diplostraca, Daphniidae. The transcript has 2 exons. The record is from RefSeq and is a predicted model, not a curated record.
UAGCAUGCAACACCGUCCUUCCGGACGACAUGGAACCAACGAAACUUGUUUCGUAAACUUCCCAACAUUGUGAUUAGACGUAGCCCAUUUCUCUUCUACUUGGUCGUCGACUAAUUGUGCCUUGAAUGUCUUCUACGUGGUGCGCAAUAAAAACAACCAAACGAUUGCCAUUUCCCUUUCUUUCUGGUUGUACUGGUUGUUUAAAAUCUACCAUGGCUUCGUCAUCACCCUUAAGACAUGUUCAUCAUUAAUCCCGUCACUGCCCGGCGAGUCCUUCGCAAAAGCAAGCGCCAGUGUACUGGAUACAGCCGGUAUCUUUACAUAAAAUCUUCUUGAAUGCAUUGUGGUCUUCUACCUUUUACUUCGCCGCUCGACGGACGACAGCGUAAACAUAGGGCAAGAGAAUGGUGACGUUAAAACUUGCUUAGUGUCUUGUUUACAUUAAAACAAAGCUUUUUCUUUGCUCUGGCAGUUAUAAAAAAAGUACAGAAGUACAACAUUCACAUAUAAACAGCUUCAGCUUGCAA